UAAUAAAUUGAGUCAAUAGUAUUACAUUAUUUUUAAAAUUGAGUAUAUUACAGUUCAUUGUAUCAGGCAAUGAUGACGAAAAUAUGGAAUUAAACAAGGAUAAAUCCAAUAAAACAUCUCAGCAACAAAAUUAACUCAAACAUAGACGUCACUAUUCACAGGCCUGAAUAUCUAGACAGAAGGAAACAAAUUAACCGUAUCAAAGAGGCAACAUUGUGAUUCUGUACAGAGAGUUCAAAAACAAAGAAAAUAAGGUCAAAGUAUUGGAAAGAAUAUCUUUAGCAAUGAUUCUAGACAACGAGAAACACAUUAAGACACCAUCUCAAAGUAUUUGCAUUUGCAUUAGCAUUCAUUAUAAAGUUGUGAAAAAACAGGGAAAAUAGGACAAAGUAUCAAAAAGGAACAUAUUUAUCAUCAAAAAUAGACAUUAGCAUUUGCAUUCUAGAAUUCUCGAUAAAAGAAAACAUUUUUCGCACAAUCAUUCAAUGAAGUAGCAUAGAAAUUCACUAGUAAGAAUUCAAAAACGGACAAAAUAGAAUAAGGUAUCAAAAAGUUCAUCUUUACCAAAAUAUAGUAACUCAAAAAUAGACCUUGGAUUCACAUCAAUACCUAGAAUUCCAAAAACAGAGAAUUUGUAGUUCAGUUGUGGUUGUUACAGUUUUGCUGGCAUCCUCAUUUCCUGUUCAAAAGCUAAUAAUUCACAAAUAAAUUUAGAGAAACUAUUUCAGAAUAAUGUUUGCCAAGCCAGAUCUAGGAAUUAACUUAAAAUGUUUUCAGUCUUUUAAACAUUCCUCAAUAAUUUGGGUUCAAUGACCCAAAUGAGGGCAACAACAACAACCUAGUAAUAAUCCCACUAGUACAGAAAGGUAGAGUGUACACACACCUUACCCCUACCCUUACCCCUGAGGGUAGAGAGGCCGUUUCCGGGAGACCCUCGGCUCAAAGACAAAAUAUGCAACCAUCCACAGAAAACAGACAAAUAGUAUUAGCACAGUAAGCGACAACAAAUAAGUGUAAGGACAAUAAUAAUAGUAAUAAUAAAAAUUAAAAAUAAAAGUGUGAUAGAACAAAAACCGCUAGCAGCCCUAUACAAAACACUAUCAAACUAGCAUAUAACCAAAUUUGAGGACUAAAUGACACUUCUUUUAGAAAUUGGGAUUUUUCCAGAUUUAUGGAGAAGGCCAUGAGAAAAUGCUAGACAAAACAUAAAAAAUUUAAAAGGACAUAAUACGAGCGGAUUGAUUGGAAAAGGAAUUCAAAGUUUAACAGAAAUGAGGCUCCAAUUUGUCCAAAAACCAUCAGAAAUUGGGCAAGGCCGCCAUGGCUACAAAAGACAGAUGGCUUAUUGUAAGAGAAAAUAAAACCAACUCACAAAUGCAACUGAACUUUGUCAAGCCAAGAUACGUAUCAACUGAAACAGAAAUAGAGCAACCAGCCUUAGGAACUCCUUCAUUUUCCAGAGUCUAAAACCUCAUUCUUUUAACAAAAUUAAGGCAAUGUAGUUGGCUCAGAUUCGCCUUUUCUCAGACAGACCAAAAAUCUUUGAAAAAACAGCCAUAGCUGCAAGCAUCAGUUAGUCUUGUGAGACACAGAAGAAAAACCAAAAAGAUGGAAUUUUUUCAAAUAUCUCAAAGACACAUCUGAGCUGCCACACCAAGAUACAGUUUUUUUCACCUCAUUAGAAAGAUACAUCUGAUAAUCUUCAUAGCCUCAUUGCACAUAAAAUGAAGCAGAGGGAGUUACUAGAAACGGAAAAGAGGGAGGUCAACUGAAAUUUCACCAAAAGGGUGGUUUUGCAAUUGGAAAAUUUUUCAUUUGACAUAUCAACGGCAGCAGAAAGGAUGCGAUCAUACUAGCACUAACGCACCGGAUCCCAUCAGAACUCCGAAGUUAAGCAUGCUUGGGCGAGAGUAGUACUAGGAUGGACGACAUCCUGGGAAGUCCUCGUGUUGCAUCCCUCUUUUCCCCACGGUGUGGAAUAAAUAGUCAAAACUACCCAUAAAAACUCCCCACAGCUCUCUGCUUUCACCAGUCUCAGACGGAAAAAGACAGGGUCAAAACCACCCAUAAAAACUCCCCACAGCUCUCUGUUUUCACCAGUCUUAGACUUAAACUAAUAAGACUAUCACCCAUUUUGUGUCUCCUUUUUGAGGCUCGGAUCUGUGUUAUAACUCAAGCAAAAAGAGUCCGACGCCAUGGCUGCAAAUACCACCAAGGGAAACCUGAACCAUGCCCCGCCAAAAUACGGGUCACAUAAUCUCAAAUGCCUGAUUAAUAAGAUAUUUACAAAAUCCUCGUCGCCGCUUUCAAGCCGUCAAUCAUACCACGACUGGCAUAGCUUGUAUUUAAACCAAAUAGACUGAUAACAGCUCGUUUGGAUGGUUGUUACCAUCGCAUUGUAUUGUAUUGUUAUUUCAGAUAGGUAGAAUACAUAGACAGCCCCUCAAACUUGUCAUGAAUUGUCAUUGAGACGCGUUAACUCGACAGAUGCAAAAAGAGAUCCGAAGACGCCAUGGCUGCAUAAACUGCCAGAAAUCUGGGGGCAUGCCCUGCCAAGAUACGGUCCGGAUAAUCUCAAAUUCUAAUUUUUGUGGUGGCAGAGGUUCGAUAUAUCUCAACAACGCAUCAUGGAAAAGAUUCUGUUUUUGUACUUUCAAGCAAUGUGUGUUAUGAUAAGGCAAAAGAGAAACCAACAACGUCAUGGUCAUCAAUACUGUAAAAGAACACAGAGGAAAGACAGAGAUGUCAGUAUACAACAACAACAAAAAAAAACCAGUAUAAUCUCACCAAUAGGGUCAGGGGAGGACUGUGAGUACGCAGCCUUAACCCUAAAGAGUCUGUUUCCAAUUAGAUAUGUCAUAACUUAAAUCAUUUCUGCUGCUUCUGCUUUUGUCAUAAAGACAAGCAAGGGCUGUUGGGUUUUUUAAUAAUGGAAGAAAAUCAAUGGUGAAACAGAGAGGGGCAACCACCCUUUCAAAUGAAACCCCAAACUCUCUGUUUUUGCCUCAUUUCUUUAAUUCUUCUGGGCUAACCUUUACCCUUCUCAUAAUUGCAUACUUGUGAGGUCUCAAAAAAUAAGGGUUAGUUUCUUAAAGCUGACAAGCUGAUUCUGGAAGCACGGCCAAUCAGGCUAUUACAAUAUAAGCUGAAUUUAGAAGCUCGGCCAAACAAGCUAUUACACGGGCCUUUUCGCGAGGGCUCAGAUUUGCUAUAUUUUUUGUCAAAGCAAAUGAGAAGGCGACACUACCGCUGCUGCAGACACCAGUUUGCUAUACAAAAGCCAUAUCCAGAAUCGUCUUGCCAAGAUACAGGUCGGAUAUUUUUUCAAUGCCACGAAUUGAUAUAGCCCAGAAAUGAAAAGCAAAAACCACAGCCCCUUUAUAUGCAUCAGUAUUCAGUAGCAGCAACACAAAGAGAUGAGGAAGAGGAAGAGCAAUAUAUUAAGGGUCUGAUUGGCUGUUUUUUUUUGGGGGGGGGGNNNNNNNNNNNNNNNNNNNNNNNNNNNNNNNNNNNNNNNNNNNNNNNNNNNNNNNNNNNNNNNNGGGGGGGGGGGGUGUUAAUUCGAAGGGCUGUUGAUUUACAAUAUAGAAAUCGUAGGCAUAACAGAGAGGGGAAAUCAACCUUUUUAUAUUGCUCCUCUUUGUUUGCCUCGUUCUUCUCCUUUUCUAAGACAAAAACCCAAAAACCUUUGGAAAAAGACCGUCACGGCUGCUGCAAGCAUCAGUUAGUCUUAUGAAUCAGGAAAAAACACACACAAAAAUGGAUUUUUCUCAAAUACCUCAAAGACCCAUCUGAGCUGCCACGCCAAAAUUACAGCUUUUUCCCAGCUCAAUAGAUGUACAAGUCUGAUUCAUCUUCCACAGAAGAAUAAAAUCUUCAUAGCCUCAUUGCGUCACAUAAAAUGAAAAGGAGGGAGUAAUAAGUAUUUUCACCAAAAUGGUGGUUUUGAAAACGGACAUUUGAGCGAUCAUCGGCGGCGGACAAUAACAGAGAGGGGGAAAACCACCCAAUGAAACUCCCUACAGCUCUCUGCUUGACCGCAGCCUCAGACUAACAAACGAGUUUUUCGCUAUUUUCCUGAUAAUCCAAGGGCAGCACGGUGCACAAGACAACCUGCAUUCGCGAGGGUGCACUCAAGAUUUGUGAUGUAGACGGAUACCUUAAUGCAAGCAUCAGUAGCUGUGAAUACUUUCACAACUCGAACUCGUGACCGAUAGGUCACACAAGGAGAACUUUACUUUUUUGUUAAUCACAAUCCAAUUGUAAGUGAGACAGAAAUCUCAAUCACAGGCUAUACCGGGUUGCCACACCAAGAUAUGGAUCCGGUCAUCUCAAUGCCCAAAUUGGUUAGCCUAGAUACAAGAAACAUCAUCAUCACUGCCUCUUUAUGUAACUUCCAUCAGCAACAUAAACACGCACACAAAAAAAAAAGAAUUAAAUACAGAUUUCACUGGGAAAAAAUUACUUCUCAGGAAUUUUACAUUUCUUAUGUCCAAACUUUGUCUGCUUCUGCUUUUGUCAUAAAUAACGGCUGUUUUUUUCUUGAAAACGGAGGAAUAUCAACGGCGGAACAGAGAGGGGCAAUCACCCUUCUAAUGAAAAUCUCAAUACUCUCUGUUUUUGCAUAUUUAGGGGAAUUUCUCGUGGGUUUUUCGCCUGCGAAUUUCACCAUUUAACAGAUGCAAAAAGAGAUCCGAAGAUGCCAUGGCUGCAUAAACCAACAGAAAUUUGGGGGCCUGCCCCGCCAAGAUACGGUCCGGAUAAUCUCAAAUUUUAAUUUUUACAACUACAUCGGAAACAACCUCUCUAUCUUCACAAGGGUAGGGUUUGUUAAGGUCUGCGCACACACUACCCUUCCCAAUCUCCACUUGUGGGAUUUCACUAGGUAUAUUGCUGUUGUUGUAAUAGAAAGAUAUCUAAUUCAUACUCCACAUAAAAAAAAACCUUGAUAGCCUCAUCACACAUAAAAUGAAACCUAGGGAGUAACAAGAAAAGGAAACUAGCAAGGUCAUACGUAUUUUCACCAAAAGGGUGGUUUUGUAAUUGGAAAAGUAUUUCAUUGGAGUGACCAUUGGCAGCGCCAAAUGACAGAGGCGCAAAACCAACCACUGAAACUCCCCACAGCUCUCUUUAAUCACCGUUGCCUCAGACUUAAGCAAAUGAUAUUUGCAAAUAACUUACGCAACAAAAUAUAAAUAGUGAUCUCAAAGCAUCCUAUUUGUGCAAAUCGUCACUGCUUCGGUCCAACCGGGUAGAUCCAAUUACGGUUUUGAGGCUCAGAUCUGCGUUAUAAGUCGAGCAAAAGUUAAUCCGACAACGCCAUGGCUGCAAAAAACCACCAGAAGGGGGCAUGCCCUGCCAAGAUACGAGUCAAAUCAUCUCAAAUGCCCAAUUGCUAAGCUCAGAAGGGAAUAGAAGAUUGACAAAAAAACAUCACCGCCUCUUUGAAGCAGUCAAUCAUACACAACAAGUUAAAUACUUUGAAAAAACUGGAUAUACCUUAAAUAGCAAGGUGAAAACUGGCCAUUCCAUGAAUUUUUUACAGGGUUGUUGGAAUUGUUACAGUAAUGGAGAAAUCAUUGGCUAAUACAGAGACAGGCAACCACCCUUUCACAAAAAACCCUAAAUUCUCCGAAGCCUCAUUCUCGUUCUCCUGAGCUUUCGUUUUGUUACAUCUCCAUAACAGUUCUUUUUAUACUAUCCUGAAAGCUGUAAAUAUAAAUUAUUUCUUGUAUAUAUUUCUCUUUCUUUCUUUAGGAAAGAGGAGUGAGUCAUUAGUGAAAGCUUUCGGGUAAGCUCAGAUUAAUGGGGCAAAACCAAGGAGAAGAGUGAAAACCAAAAUCCAAACUCAAGUAAUGGGGUAGGCUCAGAUUCGCCUUUCCUCAGACAGAAACCAAAAGAGCUUUGGUAAAACUGCCAUGAGAGGAGUGAGUCAUUAGUCAAAGCUUUCGGGUAAGCUCAGAUUAAUGGGGCAAAACCAAGGAGAAGAGUGAAAACCAAAAUCCAAACUCAAGUAAUGGGGUAGGCUCAGAUUCGCCUUUCCUCAGACAGAAACCAAAAGAGCUUUGGUAAAACUGCCAUGGCUGCAAGCAUCAGUUAGCCUUACAAGACACAAAAGAAGGCACCAAAAAGUGGAAUAUUUUCCAAUAUCUCACAGACCCAUCUGAGCUGCCAUGCCAAGUUACAAUUUUUUUCCAGCUCAAUAGAAAUAUGUCGACUCAUCUUUCACAGAAGAACAAAAUCAUCAUAGCCUAUUUGCAUCACAUAAAACAGAAGGCGUAACAAGAAAGGAAAAUAAAGAGGUUAUAUUUAUUCUCACCAAAAGGCUGGUUUUGGAAUGGGAAAUUCAUUUGAGUGAUCAUCGGAAUCAGAGAAUGACAGAGGGACAAAACCAUCAAUUGAAACUCCCCACAGCCCUCUGCUUUCACAGCAGCCUCAGACUUAAACUAAUGAGAUUUUGUUAUUUUCAUAUGAGGCUCACAUCUCACUAUGAUAAGGCAUUGAGUUUCUCAAAACCGCCAUGGCUGCAAUCUCCUCCGGAUUGCCCAGCCAAGAUACGAGUUUAAUACCAUCUCAAUGCAAAUCAAUAAUGCCAUUUGCCAAGAAUCAUACCAUCACUGCCUCAAAAUGUUCACUUUUACCUUUAUGUUUAGUAUGAUCCGCGCUGUUUGGGUGUUAACACAGCCACAUAGCAGAGAGAACAAAAGAACGGUAGCAGCAACAACAACAGCAGAUCAACAACAACAUGCAUAUCUCGAAGCUAGAUUUACCGAAAAAAAUAAGCACUGUUAAUUGCUUCUAGCGAGAAAUCAUGGGCUUAACAGCAAAACUGAACGAAUGCAUAAAUAAAUAAAUAAAUAAAUCCUAUUUCUCAUUGAUGCCUCAUUCUAUGAGAUGACUUUCUCUAUGUUUGGGCAUUGAGGGAUCAGAUUUACUGUAUUUGAACAAAGCAAAAGAGAAGGCGACGCCGCCAUAGCUGCAGACACCAGUUUGCUAUGUAAAAGACAUAGUGGUUCGCCUUACCAAGAUACGGGUAGAGUAUCUUCUCAAUGCCAUGCCCAGAACAAUAACUGCCUCUUUUUGAGAAAAUGUUGACUCUUUCAUACAUUUCAUGUAAGUAUGGAAGUUUUGGACUAAGCUCAUACUAAGAAUCCAGUAAUGCCUACCGCAAAGGCGCCAGAUGUUUGCUUUCUUGGUUUUCUUUUAGGAAAGAGGGUUGUUGGUUUUAUUAAAGAAGAAAUCAUAGGCCAAACAGAGGGCCCAACCACCAUCCUAGAACUCCCUCUUACCCCUGUUGGCCUCAUUCUUCCUUCUGGUAAAGUAGAGAUGAUAAUAACAAAGAUUUUGAGGCUCGCUCCAUCUCAGGCACCACCAUGGCUGCAAAUCCGGUUAUGGGCUGCCCCGCGAAGAUACGGCCUAUCAACUCCUGAUUCCAUGAAGCUCGGAAAAAAAUCAAUCAUCCUGUUAUGGGCUGCCCCGCGAAAAUACGGCCUAUUAACUCCUGAUUCCAAGAAGCUCGGAAAAAAAUCAAUCAUCACAGCCCCGUUAUCCAUAUUUUUUGUUGUGUAGCUUUUCAAAAUACAAUGAGAACAACCAUCCAAUCAGGGUGUUAGUGUUAGUGUGCAGACAGAUAAAUGCAUAUCGAUCCAGAGGCGGAUUCAGGAUUCCAAUAUCGAAUCAUGGAAAAGAUAAUUUUUUUUGUACUUUCAAGCAAAUGGGACUCAGAUAUGUGUUAUGAUAAGGCAAAAGAGAAACCAACAACGACAUGGCUGCAAAACACCGGUUGCAUGUGUGAUAAGAUUCAAAACUCUCAAUCACAGGCCAUACCGGGUUGCCACGUCAACAUAGGGGUCGGCUCAUCUCAAUGCAUGAAAAUGGCACCGGCUAACCAGUUUUGAGAAUGAUAAUUGAAAAAUAACCUGCGUUUGCAAGGUCCUUAAAAUUAGUCACUAUUUUGCUGCAACGUGAAAAGUUAAAGCAUAAUAUACUGAAGCACUAUUGGAACUCCAAUACACGGAAAGUCCCACUAUAAUAUUCAACAUGGAAAAUUUUUCAGGUUUUGAAUAUUAUUUUCGUUCAGAUUUAUCUUACAUGAAACCUCCACUUCCAACCGAGAGGUUGUGAGUUUGAGCAAGGUGGGAAGUUCUUGGAGGGAAGGAUGCCGGGGUCUAUUUGGAAACAGCCUCUAGGGGUAAGGUCUGCGUACACACUACCCUCCCCAGACCCCACUAAGUGGGAUUAUACUGGGUUGUUGUUGUUAUCUUUACAUGAAAAGUGCUCAAAUUUUGAUUACUUUUGAAACUUUGGCUAUUUUAAAUUACCACUUAUAAAUCCGCCUAUUUUUGAAUUUCACCCCCUCAAUGCCCAAAUCGGUUAGUCGAGAUAUAGAAACAUUAUCAUCACUGCCACUUUAUGUACCUUCCAAUCUUCCAUCAACACUGUAAAAGACCACACAGGCAAAUGCGGGUUCAAUAUAUCCCAACAAUGAAUCAUGGAAAAGAUUCUGUUUUUCUACUUUCAAGCAAAUGCGGCUCAAAUGUUUCUUAUGAUAAGGCAAAAGAGAAACCAACAACGCCAUGGCAGCAAAACACCAGUUGCAUGUGUGAGAGAAGAUUCUCCACACAGGCAAUCCUGGGUUGCCACGCCAAGAUCCGGUCGGCUCAUCUCAAUGACCAAAUCGGUUAGACCAGACAUCAUAAUCCUGGGUUGCCAGGCCAAGAUCCGGUCGGCUCAUCUCAGUGACCAAAUCGGUUAGACCAGACAUCAUCACUGCUACUUUAUGCUCCUUCCAUUAAUACUGUAAAAGUACACAGAGGAAAGACAGAUGUCAGUAUACAACAACAACAACCAAAAAACCACUAUAAUCUCACAAGUGGGAUAUGAGUAAGACGGUGAGUACCCAGCCCUAAACCUAUAUUGUGCAGGUAAAGAGGUUGUUUCCAAACAGAGAUGUCACUAUAUAUAACUUAAAUCAUUUCUCCUGCUUCUGCUUUUGUCAUAAAGACAUAAACAAGGGCUGUUGGUUCUUUUUUAUAACAAAAAUAAUGGAGGAAAAUCAGUGGUGAAGCAGAGGGGCAACCACCCUUUCAAAGAAAAUCCCAAACUCUCUGUUUUUGCCUCAUUUCUUUAAAUUCUUCUAGGCUAACCUUUUCCCUUUUCACAAUUAAAGACUUGUGAGGUCUCAAAAAACAAGGGUUAGUUUCUUAAAUCUAAUUAGCUGAUUUUAGAAGCACGACCAAACAAGCUAUUACAAAAUGAGCUAAUUUUAGAAGCACGGCCAAACAAGCUAUUACAAAAUGAGUUGAUAUUAGAAGCACGGCCAAACAAGUUAUUACACGAACCUUUCCGUGAGGGCUCAGAUUUGUUGUAUUUUUUGUCAAAGCAAAAGAGAAGGCGACGCCGCUAUGGCUGCAAACAACAGUUUGCUAUACAAAAGCCGUACCGGGUCGCCCCGCCAAGAUACGGGUCGGAUAUUUUCUCAAUGCCAUGAAUUGCACAUAGCCGGAAAGGAAAAAGCAAUCAUCACAGCCCUGUUACAACAUUCGUGUUCAGUAGCAGCAGCACAAAGAGAGGAGGAAAAAGAAGAGGAAUAUAUAUAUUAGGGGUGUGUCUGGAUGAUUUUUUUUGUUCGUUCUUUUGUUUAAUUGAAAGGGCUGUUGAUUUUUAAGGGAGAAAUCACAGGCAUAACAGAGAGGGGCAACCACCCUUUUUACAGAAAAUCCCAAUCUCUCUAUGUUGCCUCAUUCUUCUUCAUUUCUAAGGCUAUGCUCAAAGCUAUUUUCUGGUUGAAGCGUCUGCAUAAAUAGGGCAAAACUUUUUGGGGAGGUGGAAUCAAGGGUAUAUUGGUCAAUGGAUAUACAAUUUUUUAGGAACGGUUAAGGGUCAGAUUUGCCCUUGUACUAUUCAAAAUAAGCUAUAUUUACCCUCCGUUUAAAUCAAGGCAAUGUAGUAGGCUCAGAUUCGCCUUUUCUCAGACAAAAACCAAAAAGCUUUGAAAAAGCAGACAUAGCUGCAAGUAUCAGUUAGUCUUGUGAGACACCGAAGAAAAACCAAAAAGAUGGAAUUUUUCCAAAUAUCUGAAAGAUCUAUCUGAGCUGCCAUGCCAAGAUACAGAUUUUCCAGCUCAUUAGAAUGAUACAUCUGAUUCAUCUUCCACAGAAGAACAAGAUCUUCAUAGCCUCGUUGCACAUAAAAUUAAGCGGAAGGAGUUACUAGAAGUGGAAACGAGGGAGGUCAACUGAAAUUUCACAAAAAGGGUGGUUUUGCAAUUGGAAAUUUUUUCAUUUGAGAGAUCAUUGGCAGCAGAAAUAUGCAGGGGCAAAACCACCCACAGCUCUCUGCUUUCACCACAGCCUUAGACUUAAACUAAUAAGAUUGUCACCAUUUUUGUGUUUCCAUUUUGAGGCUCAGAUCCGUGUUCUAACUCAAGCAAAAAGAGUCCGACACCGCCAUGGCUGCAAAUACCACGAAGGGAAACCUGAAGCAUGCCCCGCCAAAAUGCGGGUCAGAUAAUCUCAAAUACGGUUAAACAGGUUAUUAGAAAAUAACCUGUUUUGUUUUUGUUUUUCCUAGCCGAGGGUCGAUUGGAAGCAGCCUCUCUGCCCUUUCGGGUAGGGGUAAGGCUCGUCUACAUAUUACCCUCCCCAGACCCCACUUUGUGGGACUAUACUGGGUAGUCGUUGUUGUUGUAGUUUAUUAGAAAAUAAGCUUUUUUAGAAGCACGGCUAAACAGGCAACUACAUGGGCCUUUUUGUGAGGGCUCAGGUUUGCUAUAAUUUUUGCCAAAGCAAAUGAGAAGGCGAUGCUGCCAUAGCUGCAGACACCAAUUUGCUAUACAAAAGCGGUAACGGACGAUCUGCCAACCCCUUUUUACAGAAAAUCCCAAUCACUCUGUUGCCUCAUUCUUCUCCUUUUCUCAGACAAAUACCACCGUCGUGGCUGCAAGCAUCAGUUAGUCUUAUGAAACAGGAAAACACACACACAGAAAUGGAUUUUUUCUCCAAUAUCUCAAAGACCCAUCUGAGUUGCCACACCGAGAUUACAAUUUUUUCCCAGCUCAAUAAAUUUAUAAGUCUGAUUAAGAAUAAAAUCUUCAUAGCCUCAUAGCAUCACAUAAGUUGAAAGGGAGAUCGUAAUACAUAUUUUCACCAAAAGGGUGGUUCUAAAAACAGACAUAUCAUCGGCGAGGGACAAUCACAGAGAGGGGCAAAACCACCCAAUGAAACUCCCUACAGCUCUCUGCCUAGACCGCAGCCUCGGACUUAAACUAAUGAGUUUUUUGUCAUGUUAAUCCAAUGGCAGCCCGGUGCACAAGGUAUCCCGCUUUCACACAGGGUCCGGGGAAGGACCACAUCCAAGAUGUGUGAUAUAAACAAUAUACCCUAAUGCAAGUAUUAGGGGCUGCUUUCACGGCUCGAACCUGAAGACAACUUUACCAUUGCUCCGAGGCUCCCCUCCCUAUUUUCCCGUUAAUCCAAAUCACAGAAAAGAUUAUCUUUUUUUUUCUCUUUUCGGCAAAUGGGGUUCAGAUGUGUUAUGAUAAGGCAAAGAGAAGCCCGCUACGCGAUGGCUGCAAAACACCAAUUGCAAGUGAGAGACAGAAAUCUCAAUCACAAGCCAUACCAGGUUGCCAAGCCAAGAGGGGUUGGGUCAUCUCUAUGCCCAAAUCGGUUGGCCCACAUACAAGAAACAUCAUCAUCAAGGCCCCUUCAUGUAACUCCCAUCAGCAACAUAAACACACACACACACACACACACAAAGUAAACACAGAUUUCACUGUAAAAAAAUUACUUCUUCCUGAAUUUCACAAUUUUUAUGUCCAAACGUCCACGUAAAUCCUGUAUGCUUCUGCUUUUGUCACAUGCAAGGGCUGUUGGUUUUUUUUUUUAAAAUGGAGGAAAAUCAAUGGCGGAACAGAGAGGGGCAACCACCCUUCUAAUGAAAAUCCCAAUACCCUCUGUUUUGCCUCAUUUCUUUCUGGGCAAACCUUUUUGCAUUUUUAGGGGAAUUUCUCGUGGGUUUUUCACCUGCGAAUUUCAAAAUUUAACGGAAAAGAACCUGUAAGUUUGCACUUAAGAAAAUAACCUUCCAAUUGAGGCUCAGAUCUGUAAUAUGGAAGACAAGGUAAGAGACUGGAGAUGCCGCCACAGCUGCAAACACUGGUUGCAAUCUGUCACUGUCCGGGUUGCCCUGCCAAGUUACGGGUCCGAUUGCUCUCUUGCCCUAAUCAAUUUGCUCAGAGACAAGAAAAAAUCAUCAUCAUAGCCUCAGAUUUUUGCUAUAAUUAUUUUUAUUAUUAGAAAGCGAGCCUUGGAGUAACUGAUAAAGUUGCUGCCAUGUGACCAGGAGGUUCGAGCCGUGGAAACAACCUCUUGCAGAAAUGCAGGGUAAGGUUGCGUACAAUAAACUCUUGUGGUCUGGCCCUUCGCUGGACCCCGUACAUAGAGGGAGCUUAGUGCACAGGGCUGCACUUUUUUAAAAAAAAUUAUUAUUACUACUUCUUGAUUUUUGACAAGAGGGGUUGCUCUGAUGGUAAGCAACCCCCACUUCCAACCGAGAGGUUGUGANNNNNNNNNNNNNNNNNNNNNNNNNNNNNNNNNNNNNNNNNNNNNNNNNNNNNNNNNNNNNNNNNNNNNNNNNNNNNNNNNNNNNNNNNNNNNNNNNNNNNNNNNNNNNNNNNNNNNNNNNNNNNNNNNNAGUUCUUGGAGGGAAGGAUGCCGGGGGUCUAUUUGGAAACAGCCUCUCUACCCGAGGGUAGGGGUAAGGUCUGUGUAAACACUACCCUCCCCAGACCCCACUAAGUGGGAUUAUACUGGGUUGUUGUUGUACUUCUCUUUUUGGGAGUGAGGAUUUGGAGAUACAGUAGAGAGGUCAUUUGGAUACAGUUUACUGCAGAAGGGCAUUUUUGGCAAAAAAUGAAAUCACAGGUAUUGUAGAGAGGAGCAGCUGCCCUUAAGCUUCCUUAUACUCUCUGCAACUCUCAUUCAUUAUAUGAGCUUUUAGUUUUCUGCUUUGUGUCAAAAGAGAACUAUUUAGAGGAUCGAUAUUUCUUACUUUGCCCUCUGAUACACACUUAUUUACAACCCUUUAAAGACAAUCCCAUCUGUUUUGUCCCACUUCUUUAAGCCACCCUAGAAGUAGUAUUAAACAUCUCAGCAUGUUUCAUCCAGCCAAUGGGGUAGGCUCAGAUUCACCUUUUCUCAGACAACCCCAAAAAGCUUUGGAAAAAGACCACCAUGGCUGCAAGCAUCAGUUAGCCUUAGGAGAAAUACACACACAAAAAUGUAUAAUUCUCCAAUAUCUCAAAGACCCAUCUGAGCUGCCACGCCAAGAUUACAAUUGUUUCCUGUUUCAGUAGAUUUAUGUCUGAUUGAUCUUCAACAUAAGAACAAAAUCUUCAUAGCCUCAUCGCGUCGCAUAAAUUGAAACAGGGGAGUAAUACAUAUUUUCACCAAACGAGUAGUUUUGCAAUCGUACAAUUGGGUGAACAUUGACGGCAGAGAAUUGACAGAGAGCAGAAAAACCACCCAAUGAAACUCCUUACAGCUCUUUGCCUUCACCGCAACCUUAGACUUAAACUAAUGAGUUUAAUCCAAGGGCAACCGAGUGCACAAGGCAUCCCACGUUCACCCAGGAUCCGACAAAGGGCAACACUCAAGGAAUGUGAUGUAAACAGGAUACCUUAAUCAAGCUUUAGUGGCUACUUUCACGGCUCGAAAUCAUGACCUAUAGGUCACACGAAUACUAACUUUAACGUUGCUAUUUUCCUUCCUAUUAUCCUGUUGAUCCAAAUCAUAGAAAAGAUUAUCUUUUUUCUUCUUUUCAGCAACUGGGGCUCAGAUGUGUUAUGAUAAGGCAAAGAGAAGCCAGCAAUGCCAUAGCUGCAAAACACCAGUUGCAAGUGAGAGACAGAAAUCUCAAUCACAGGUCAUACUGCGUUGCCACGCCAAGAUACGGGUCGGCUCGUCUCUAUACCCAAAUCGGUUAGCCCAGAUAAAAGAAACAUCAUCAUCACUGCCUCUUUAUGUAACUUCCAUCAGCAACAUAAACACACAAAAAAAAAGUAAAUUCAGAUUUUGCUGGAGAUCUUUUUUACUUUUUUCCGGAAUUUUACAAUUCUUAUGUCCAAACGUUGUCUGUUCUGCUUUUCUCAUAAACACGGGCUGUUGGUUUUUUUUUUUUUGGAAAAUCAAUGGCGGAACAGAGAGGGGCAACCACCCUUCUAAUGAAAAUCCCAAUACUCUCUGUUUUGCCUCAUUUUUCUGGGCUAACCUUUUUGCAUUGGAAAUUCUCGUGCAUUUUUCAACUGCGAAUUUCAAAAUUCAACAGAAGAGAGCCCAUUUUUUUGAUAAGGAAAAAGCGGGUAUAGAUGCAAAUGAAAACAGAAAAGAGCCCAUAAAUCUGCAUUUACGAAAAUACCUUUCCAAUUGAGGCUCAGAUCUGUAAUAUUGAAGAUAAGGCAAGAGAUUGGAGACACCGCCAUGGCUGCAAACACCGAUUGCAAGUCGUCACCGUACGUGUCGCCCCACCAAGAUACGGGUCCGAUUGUUCUCCUGCCCUAAUCAAUUUGCUCAGAGACAGAAGAACAAAUUAUCAUCACAACAUCAAAUUUUUGCUACAAUUAAUAUUAUUAUAACUAUUAUUCUCUUUUCCGGAGUGAGGAUUCGGAGAUACAGUAGAGUGGUCGUUUGGACAUAGUUUACUGCAGAAGGGCAUUUUUGGCAAAAAUGAAGUCAUAGGUAUUGUAGAGAGAAGCAGCUGCCCUUUGAGCUUCCCUCUACUCUCUGCAACCCUCAUUCACUAUCUCUCACCUUUUGGUUUUCUGCUCUGUGUCAAAGAGAACUAUUUAAAGUGUCAACAAUUCUUGUUUUGCUCACUGACGUACAACUUGAUUCCAUGCUUAGGAGCAAAAAGUAGUUCAAAUUCAAAGAAGAAUAAGUUUUAGAUGUUUCUAUUUCACAGUAUUUACGAGGCUCAGACAUGCAAAGAGAGAUCCCGCAAAAGAGAGUCGACUGCGACAUGGCUGCAAAAUCACCGGUUGCAUCAAAGAAAAAGCCUCCAAAUCGUCAACUAACCGUCGGUGAUUUGCCAAGCCAAGUUACAGGUCAUAUAGUCUCUAUGACCGACCCAGUUAGCCCAGAGUUAGCCCAGAAUCUGGAUAAAAUAUCAUCACUGCAUCAAUUGUUAUGUAUCAAAAAAGAGGAACUAAAAUCACAGAAUCAGAGACAGAGAAAAGAGAGAUCCGGCCGUUGUUGUUGAUUGAUGCUGAAGAAUUAAGAAAAUAACUUUCCAAUUGAGGCUCAUAAGCCUGCAUUUAAGAAAAUAACUUUCCAAUUGAGGCUCAGAUCUGUAAUAUUUGAAGAUAAAGCAAGAGAUUGGAGACACCACCAUGGCCGCAAAUACCCGCAACAAGACAUCACCAUCCGGGUUGCCCCGCCAAGACACAGGUCCGAUUGUUCUCUUGCCCUAAUCGAUUUGCUCAGAGACAGAAGAAAAAAUAUCAUCACAGCCUCAGAUUUUUGCUACAAUUAUUAUUAUUAUUACUCUUGAUUCUCUUUUUGGAGUCAGGAUUUGGAGAUGAUUAGCAGAGACCAAUAAUAGCCAAUCGAAAUACUUAAGGGGUCGUUUGGUUAGAGUAUAAUGCAGAAGGGCAUUCGGCAAAAAUGAAAUCACAGGAAUUGUAGAGAGGAGCAGCUUUGAUGGUAAGCAACCUCACUUCCAACCGAGAGGUUGUGAGUUCGUGGCAAAAAUGAAAUCACAGGAAUUGUAGGAAUUGUAGAGAGGAGCAGCUCUGAUGGUAAGCAACCCCACUUCCAACCGAGAGGUUGUGAGUUUAAGUCUCCCCAGGAGCAAGGUGGGAAGUUAUUGGAGGGAAAGAUGCCGGGGGUCUAUUUGGAAACAGCCUCUCUACCCCAGGGUAGGGAUAAGUUCUGCGUACACACUACCCUCCCCAGACCCCACUAAAUGGGAUUAUACCGAGUUGUUGUUGUUGUAGAGAGGAGCAGCUGCCCUUGAGCUUCACUCUACUCUCUGCAACCCUCAUUCUUUGUCCCUGAGCUUUGAGCUUUUACUUUUCUGCUUUGUGUGAAAGAAAACCAUUUAAAGCAUUGAUAAUCUUGUCUUGCCUUCUGGUGUGUGUGUUUACAUAAACGACUGACUGGAUUAUUGUUGAUUUUUUCUUUCAAAGGAGAUACAAAAGUUUUUAUCCUCUACAAUCUUCUUCUAGAGAUUAUUAUGCUUAGCUAAGACUUAUCCCUUCAUUUUCUUUGAUUGAUUUUAUUCAAAAAGUUACCAAUAUCUUUUGAGUCAAACAGGCUUAUCAUGAAUGUGUUAUGAUAAGGCAAAGAGAAGUCAGUUGCGCUAUGGCUGCAAAACACCAAUUGCAAGUGAGAGACAGAAAUCUCAAUCACAUGCCAUACCGAGUUGCCAAGCCAAGAGGGAUUGGGUCAUCUCAAUGCCCAAAUCGGUUAGCCCAUAUACAAGAAACAUCAUCAUCACUGCCUCUUUAUGUAACUUCCGUCAGCAACAUGAACACACACACAAAGAAACAAAAAGUAAAAAUACAGAUUUCACUGGAAUUUUUUUUAACUUCUUUCCGGAAUUUUAAAAUUCUUAUGUCCAAACGCUGUCUGCUUCUGCUUUUGUCAUAAACAAGGGCUGUUGGUUUAUUUUGAAAAUGGAGGAAAAUCAAUGGAGGAACAGAGAGGGGCAACCACCCUUCUAAUGAAAAUUCCAAUACUCUCUGUUCUGCCACAUUUCUUUCUGGCUAACCUUUUUACAUUUUUAGGGGAAAUUCUCGAGGGUUUUGCACCAGCGAAUUUCAAUAUUUAAUGGAAAAGAGCUCUUAAGAUCAAGAAAAUAACCUUCCAAUUGAGGCUCAGAUCUGUCAUAUUUGAAGAUAAGGCAAGAGACUGGAGACACCGCCAUGGCUGCAAACACCGGUUGCAAGUCGUCACCGUCCGGGUCGCCCCGCCAAGAUACGAGUCCAAUUGUUCUCCUGUCCUAAUAAUUUUGCUCAGAGACAGAAGAAAAAACUAUCAUCACAGCCUCAGAAUUUUGCUACAAUUAUUAUUAUUACUACUAUUGAUUCUCACUUUGGGAGUGAGGAUUUGAGAUACAGUAGAGUGGUCGUUUGGACAUAGUUUACUACAGAAGGGCAUUUUUGGCAAAAAUGAAAUCAUAGGUAUUGUAGAGAGGAGCAGCUGCCCUUUGAGCCUCUCUCUACAUUCACUGACUCUGAGAUUCUGGCUUUCUGCUCUGUGUCAAAGAGAACUAUUUAAAGCAUGAACAAUUCUUAUUUUGCCCACUGACGUACAACUUGAUUCCAUGCAUAGGAGCAAAAAAAUAGUUAAAAUUCAAAGAAAAAGAAGUUUUAGGUCAAUUUCGCAGUACGUAACUAAGAGGCUCAGAUAUGCAAAGAGAGGCGACCGCGCCAUUGCUGCAAAAUCACCGGGUCCGGUUGCAUGCAAAGAAAAAGCCUCCGAAUCGGUAGCUAACCGUCCGGUGAUUUGCCAGGCCAAGUUACGGGUCGGAUAGUCGCUAUGCCCGAUCCAGUUAGCCCAGAAUCCGGAUAAAAUAUCAUCACUGCCUCAAUUGUCAGGAACUAAUCACAGAAACAAAGAUAGAGAAAGAGAAAUCUGGCUGUUUUUGAUUGAUGCUGGAGAACAGGAACUAAAAUCACAUAAACAAAGAUAGAGAAAGGGAAAUCUGGCUGUUUUUGAUUGAUGCUGGAGAAAUGACUGUAUGUAUUUCCAUUAAUUCAAGGGCUGUUGAUUCUCUUUUAAAGGUGGAAAAAGGAAAAUCAUUGGCUAAACAGAGAGGGGCAACCACCCUUUGAAUAAAAAUCCAAGCUCUCUAUUUUUGCCUCAUUUUUUUUCUGGGCUAAACUUUCUUUGCUGGGAAAUCCUUUGGUGAAUUCCACCUUUCACUCUAUGUGUUCUCUUGUGAUAAGCAUACACUCUUGCUUGGAAGAAUCUAGAAGGAAAUUUAUUUAAAGUGAUUGCUUUGGUGUUUGGAACUUUGGAUCAAACUUUAAGGUUAAUGUCGGAAGACUUCGUAACAAUGAACAGCACGUGGGUCCUAAGUACGGUUAUAGAUUUUUCCCAAAAUAAAUUUAAAUUUUAUUUCAUAUUUCACCAUAGAUUUUACUUAUAUUUUUACAAAAUCCCAAAUUUUAAAUUGCGGACCCAAAAUAUUACUAUUAUAUCUUUUAAAAAUUUCAGGAUUAAAAUUAGUACCGAGAUAACUUAUGCCUUGUAAGGGAUGUGGUAAUUAGUAUCGGAAUAAUUUAUACCGUCUUCUUAGAAAUCAUGCAAUUGUUAUUUUUAAUACAACAUACCAAACAAUAGAUAAAAAACAGUAAUAGCAUAACUAAUCCCGGCAUAACUUAUUUCAAUAAAACUUAUUCCAACAUAAGCCGUAUUCAAACCAAAUGACCACAUACAAUUUAAAUAUUAUUUUUAUACUAACCACGAACUUUAAUAAGUGACAGCUAAUAGUAAUGAUUAUUUUAGGACUGCUUUGGUAUAAGGGAUUAAAAAAUAAUUAAUCUCAGAAAUAAAUCUAAGAAGAAUUUAUACCAUGUUUGGGUGGGAGAAUAGUUCAAUAUUAUUAAUUUUGGAAUUAUAAUAAUUUUUUAAUCAUAUGAAAAGGUGGUAAAACUAAUCCCAAAAUAAAUUAAUAGAAGAUAUUUUGAUUUCGAAAGUCAAAUAAAUUAGUCUUUCACUGUAAUCUUUUCGUAUGACUUUUUAAUGUACUGAAUUAUUAAUUAAUGUGACUUAUACCUUUUUUUAAUAUAGUUUUCAAAUAUGUAAUUUGGUAAACUAAAAGCGAAAGUAUCAUGUAAAUUAAGGCACAUGGAGUAAUAUUUAUCAACAUCUUACUUAUAAUUACUACUCCUAAAUAGUAAUUUGAUUCUUGUAAAUACUUUUUACAUCUUUAAUGCAUAGAUUUUCUUUAGGUAAUUUUUCAGGUAGCGUUUCACUAGGGAUAGAUGUUUUUACUUAUUCGUAGGUCAUUUUUUUGGUCAAUUUGAUAGAAUAUAUUAUAAAUAUUCACCUUACAAAUCAAGGUAAAUUAACACCCUUUACCCGUCUACCAUACGCUAAGAAUAAAACCAACAAAUAAAGUUGACUAGAAAAUUAUAGGAGGCAGCUUAAUGCAUGAAAUAUCCGCGUUUACUCAAUAUAUGAAAAAGAAUUGUAUCCUAAGGGUGUAAUGCAAAUAAAUUUGUAGAUUAAGUGGAUACAAACUUUACUAUUGAACACAAUACCAUAGGAUAAUGAAAUUAAAGUAAGACAUGUCAGUUAAACGAUGCAUUCAACUAUAACUGGUGGUUUAAAACUUAGAACCGGUGAUGUAAUAUAUUUAUUUUAAAUGCGUAAUAUAUAUAAAAUGGGACAAGAACUAUAAUUUUUUAGAUCAGGGGGCAUCUCUAAAGACCUAUCCAUCCUUUUAAUAAAAAAGUUGAUAUACUUGAGUGAAAUUUUUUGUGGAAUAUAUAUAUAUAUAUAUAUAUAUAAGGAUUUUUUUCCCUUUGGAAACUUUUGAGUUUCUUUCAUUUGAUUUCUUCUUUAUGAUUACAAAGAUUUCAAAUACCUUAGCACGAAAUAAAAUGCAGUAAUAAGGUUUUCUGGAUGUUGAAACAAGGCACGUUCUCAAUGUGACUUUGUUUGAAACAAAUGAGGAUUAGUAAUCACAAUUUAAUAUUAUUUUAUCGCUCGAUUGUAUCUAGAGAGCAAAAUAUGACUCCACACGUUAUGCAAUAAAUAUCGCCCCGAUCGAUUACAUGGCAUUUCUUUAUAUUUAUCAAUCAAAUUGAUACUUGAAAUGAUAAACCCUCCAAUCCUCCAUGAUUGCAUUGAAUUUAAUUUUUUAUUUUUGGUUUUUCUGUUUCUUGUUUGCAUACCAACGUUGCUUGAUUAGGGUGGCUUCCACAAGUAUUAUCUGACUCGAAAGUGGCUGAAAUAAUUCAAAAAUUACCGUGGAGGUAGAGAUUUGAUCAAUUGUGGUCAUGUGGCUGGUGUUGCACAUGCUUUCCGAGCCUCAACUACCCACGUUUGACUGCUGCAUCAUAUCCUAAAGCCAAUCAGUGGUUCAAAGAAACUUUAAAAUAAAAUUGUCAAUAACUACUUCAAAAUUGUUGUUGUUGUUGUUGUUGUUGUUGUUGUUGUUGUUGUUGUUGUUGUACUUCAAAAUUGCUACGUAAAAAUCAUUUCAUAGUUUUGAUCUGGAGUACUUAUUGUUUCUUAUGUACUUUUAAUUUUGACGAUAUUUAUCGUGCACUUUAUCUACCGUCACGAUUUUUUUAACGGUGAAGCAUGUUAUGGCUUAAUAUUUAAGGCCAUAGGUCUAUGUAAUUUGAGAAAGAAUCAGUCACAAAAGAAAUUCCCAAAUAGCAAUAGCUAGAUCAAAUCAUGCCCAUUGAAUAGGCACUUGUAUUAGUGUCACCAACCAUCUUCACAUACGUUGGAGCAUAAUUAGCCCUCGACAAGGUAAGGAGAAACCCGAAUUUAAACUAGAUGAGUGCAUAUUUUUAGCUUGAAACCUAUUAUAUUUUAAGACUAGAGGUUCAGACUCAUUACCUAAUUAUAUAAGGUUGCAUCCGCCUUUGAGGCAAGGAAUAUAGUGGACUUGACGAAUCUACAGGUGAACAAUUAAGGUAAGAGUGACGAUUGUUGAGUUUUGAUACACGAAAAAUAAAAUGUAUUUGAAUCUCAUAAAGAAGCAGUAAUGUAUCGAAAACUUGCAUAAAAACUUUAUCAAAGCAAUAAAAAGAAUAAUUAGCAGAAACGCAAGUUUGAUGGCUUUAUAAAAUAUUUGGUACACAAACCUAAGCCACUUGAAUUGACAUCCAAACUCUUUUUCCAUGACUCAUAUGAGGAUGUUAUUAACUGACAACAUCUUCGUAUUUAUGAGUAACACGAACACACACAAAAAUACAGAGUGUUUGCUACUUGUGAACCUAAUUGAGGUACUUUGGCUAUUUAAGAAAAAGGUACAAAAUUCAUCUUCAUAAUUGUUGUAUUGGACUCAACCUAGAAAAAUGGUACUUCAACAACGAUGGUCAAAAUUGUCGAUGAGAGUAAUUAAAAGACCAUGAUAUAUGAACCAUCGUGAUACAACUAAAGUAUAAAAUAUAGUUCAACCACAAUGAAUACAAAACAAUCACAAAACAAUUCACAUGAAGAAAGAUGGAUAUUACCGAAUAAAGGAGGUAAAUUUACAAAUGAUCUGGACCUAACUUUCGUAUAUAUUGUAGUUCCAGAAAUCUCUUGUCAAUGGCACAAGCGGAUUAUGAUUUUGAUAUGUCUGCAGAGAGAUAUAAUUAUUUAGUCAGUGCACACUAACAGAAAUUUAUAACUAAGUAAAAAAGAAUAUGUUUAUAAAUAUACAAAUAGUUUGGACUUGAUUAUUGUAUAUAUUGUGGUUCUAGAAGUCCUUUGUAACGACACAUCAUAUAGAAAUGAUUAUUUUUAGUCAUAACGCUCAAAGAUAUGAAAAGUAGAAUACCAAAAAUUCAUAACUGAAUUCAAAAGCAUAGUUGUAUUAAAUGACAAAAAAUUUGGACCUCAACUUUUUAUAUAUUGUAGUUCCUUAAGUCCUCUUUUUAAUGGCACAAGCAGAACAUGGUUUCAACGUCUUUGUAGAGAGAUAAUUUUUUUAGUAUGGCCGUACAAAGCUGGAAAAAGCAUAAUGAUAGAGAUUCACAACUGAGUUCAAAAGGAUAUAUGUUUAAAUAUAUAAAUAAUAGACCUGAAUUUUAUUAUAUAUGGUAGUUAAGUCUUGUUUUCAAUGACAUAAGUGAAUUGGGAUUUUGAUGUGUCUGUAGAAAGGUUUGACUUUUUUGGUGAGGAUGCACAAAGUUGUGAAAAGUAUAAUAUGAGAAUACCAUAACUAAAUUCAAAGGUAUAUACGUAUAAAUCUACAAAAAACCUUUUUUGUAUAUAUUGUGAUUCUAGAAGUUCUCUUCAAUGAUACCAGCGGAUUGUGGUAUCGAUGUAUUUGUAGAAAUAUAUUAUUAUUUUGCUCAAUACAUGUUGUUUCCAUUAAAGUUUAUAAUUCAUGAGUUUGUAGACCGAAUUACUUUAGAAAAAGAAGGAUCAGGGAGAAGGAAAUGCAAAGAACGGAGAAUAGGUGCAUACCUAUUCAAUCUGAACCUUUGAAAAUAGAAACAUCAAUACUAAAUUAAGAAGUCUAAACAUAAUAAAAACUCCCUCAGGUAUAUGAACAUAUAGUUGAAUACUUCUCCAAAAAAAAAUUGCAUAGUUCUUCUAAAGUUGAGCGUGGUGCUUGCAUAACAAACUUGCUUGGUCAGUGUGGCUUCUGCAAGUAUUACAACCGACUUAGAAGUACUUGAAGUAAUUCAAAAAUGACUGUUACCGCAGAGAUUUGAUCACUUAUGGUGUUGCGCAUGGUAUUGGAACUCAUUUAUGAGCCUCAACUGCUUUUAUUUGACUAUCGCUUCAUAUCCUCAAGCCAAUCAGUAGUUUACAUAAAACUUUAAAAUGAUAAUUGUCAAUCAUCGAUUUAGAUUAACUUUAAAUUUCUUUUAAAGGCUCAAACCCAUUUAAACUUUGAUAGACCAUGAGAGUAAAUAAUUUUUUACUCGAUAGUGAAUGCUACCUUUAUGACACGAGAAAAAUGGUUGAACCACAUUUGACAAGCGUUGUGCCUUAAAGUGAGAAUGAUAUUGGUAUUCACUUCAUUCCAAAGAAGAAGCAGAUUGGUAAGCAUUCGAGGACCAUAAGGCAGUUUACUUCCAAUUGGGAUAGAGAAAAGUUAUGCAUAAAAGAUUUACCACUAAGAAAUCUUGCUAUUAUUGAUUCAACUAUAAAAUAUCAGUUUUCCUUUGUCAUCUUAAGUCAAUGCCUAAAAAAAUCUGAAUGUGAAGUUCAUAUUAGUUGUUCCAUGACAAAAAUAUUAGCUGUUCUCAGAAUCAACAAAACUAUCGACAUGCUUUUUCAAUAACACACCAAGAUGGUGCCACAGCUAUGUAAGAAAUAAAAGAGUAACUGAGUACUCCAACCGAGAGGUUGUGAGUUCGAGUCUUCCCAAAAGCAAGGUGGGAAGUUCUUGGAGGGAAUGAUGCCGGGGGUCUAUUUGGAAAUAACCUCUCUAUCCAAGGGUAGGGGUAAGGUCUGUGUAGUGUGUACACACUACCCUCCCCAAACCCCAUUAAGUGGGAUUAUACUGGGUUGUUGUUGUACUUCUCUUUUUGGGAGUGAGGAUUUGGAGAUACAGUAGAGAGGUCAUUUUGUUGUUGUUGAGUACCAUAUAUGUAAUUCAUGCAAGAAGAUUAGCUCCCGAGAAAGAGCUCACUAAUGAGUUUAAUGUUGUGGAGGCUAGUGUGUGGAAUGUUGUUUCUCCGAAAAAAUGUUCAUAAGCUCCUAUUUUCUAUAUUUAUGCUGCCUUGUCAUAUUCUCAACGUCGAGACAUUAAUUUUAGGGUGCUAUAAGGGUGAACAAAUAAUUUCUAGGUUCCGCUCAACUCUCCCUUAGAGCCUGUGGAAAAUAUGUGUAUCAUUGCCAGUGGAACCUGGCAACAUCAUAUUAUUCGAUGGGAAAAAGCUUUGAGUUUUUCAACAGAUUGUUUCAAUGCCUAUUGUGAUAGCGCUACAAUUUAACAAAUUUUAUUUUAGCAUAUAUUUGGUAUUCAACUACAAAAAAUAAAAGAGUAAGCAAGUAAACAUUAUGAAAGCACUAACUUUUACCAUAGAAAAUAAAAGAAAUGCAUCUUUCUGGUGAAAACACACACUAUCAAAUAGAAUUCCAAGACACAUUCCCUGUCAAACAGUCCAACCAAAAAAUCUAACUUUCCAACGGUUAUAAAUUGCAACAACAGAGAAGGUACACUAACUUCCUCAAUUAAUUCAAUCAUGGAUAUAGCGGUAAUUCAAAGGAUAAAUUUUUUUCAAUAUGUAAAUAAGUCGUUAAAUUUUAAGGCUAGUACACUAUUCCUUCAUCAUUCCCUCUUAAGCAAGGUACUGUUUUCAACAUUCUCUAAAAGUCAAAUUGCUGAUUUUUCUUCUCUGGUUGCCUCCAAUAGGUACCACCUAGGGGUGUACAUGCACCGGGUUGGUUCGAUUUUUAUCAAAACUAAAUCAAACCAACUAUAUUUAUUUGAAUUGAUUCAAUUUUGUCGGUUUUUUGAAAUUUUUUUGUUACAUGAAUAUUAGCUCAAUCUUACUUAGUUAAAAUUAUAGAUAAAGCUUUGAUAAGUGAAUAUAUGUUUAGUAAAUAUGAAAAAAUUGACAAACAUAUGAUCUAUUAAAAUAUUCUAAUGGGGAGAAUUUUUUUUAGUAACGCAUGAUAGUUAUUUUCUUAGUCGUCUAACAAUAAUUUUUCGUUAAUUUACACGUUCAAGGUUAAUACAUGAGAGGAUCCCAAAUAUUUCUAGAUUUUCUAAAUAAAAAUCACUAUAAAGUCUUAAAAAUAUAAAUAAAAAUUAUAUAAUUAUAUAUUGGUUUGGUUCAAACUUUUUUACUCAAUACCAAACCAAGUCAAACCAAACCUAAUUGGAUUUUUUAAUCGGUUCGAUUCGAUUUUUCGGUUUGGUGCGAUUUUCCGAUUCGGUUUGAACACCCGUAGUAUCACCUAUCCAUUUUGAGAACAUUUUUAGUUUCUAUGCUCGCACACUGCCUAAUAAGCUUAUUUUUGGAGAAAUCUAGGACAUGACUGAAGGCAACAUAGAGGUGUUUGAAUUGUUUGGCCGGUACCUUCUAAUCACAUUAUAGGUUUUUGACUAAUAAAAGAGUACACAACCUAAAGGGAAUUAUUGUUAAAUAGUUUUUGGUACAACAAAAUAUUCAGACACUACCGCAUAUGUAUCGAUAUGACAAACUAAGUUCAAUUAGCUUGAUUUGAUCGCACAACGACUUAGAUGUAUGUGCUAUUUAUUGUAACAGAUGUGCGUAGAACAACUAUUAGCUUUAAAUAACACUUGAAUUAAUAUAACAUAAAAUAGUUCAUUCACUUACAAGGACUUCACUAAUUUGUCAAUUAUUUUAACCUGACAAACACCCUUAACUAACUCAUCAAAAAUAAAGAAACUUCACCGAGUGUUGGAGCCAGCCUCUCAGACAAACUACUCCAUGAAUACGCACAUAGAAAUUAAAAAGUUUAAUUUAGCUUUGCAAAUUAAAAAACCAAAACAUAGAAGCAAUGAUACAUAAAUCCGCACAUAUGCAAAUUACAAAAUAAAGUCAGUAAAACGAAUUAUAAGACAAUAACAAAUUUUAAUAUCUUUUUAUCUCGUAUAACCAAUUCAAUCUAGAAAAUAGCGUUUGAAAUGUAACGAUCCGAUACCACCCACAAACAAAUAACCCCAACUUUCAACUUCCCUUUCAUCUUCGAAACUAUUAUAUCCUUAAUUGUAUCAAUGUGAUUAACCAUAUCUUGCAGGAACCGUAUGUUUUAUUGAAUUUUAUUUUAUUUAGCAGUCAAUUUGGAACAGUUCCAUAUGGUUUCGUGAGUCUCAGUCGAGCGUGACUUUCAAUCGUAUGGUUGAGCGAUUUCAUGGUUGUCCACUUUCCUUAGCGUAGGUUUUGCGUAGAAAAUUUAGGGAAAGUGAAGUUCUAAUUGUGCAAUUUUUAAAUAAUAAUGUGAAUCAGUUUUCUUUUAGAUAGGUAAAAAGCAAACAAUGUAUGUUUGACAAUCAGUUAAUUUUCUUAUUAAAAAUAUCUAGAAUUUUGAAUUAAAUAAAACUCUUUUAAAAAUAAAGUUUGAUCUUUAUGGUUCAAAGUUAAAAAAAGGUAUGUUCCAACGUUCUAAAAUCAGUUAGGAGUAAUUUUAAUAAAUAAAGAAUAUUUUUUUUAAAAUAAAGAAAUCUGAAACUAUGAAGUAGUUUUCACUGUUUUUCACCACUUUCCUUCUCUUUCUGCAGGCAUAUGUAUAAGUUGCUCCAUUUCCAUCUAUUUCCAGAUAGCUACCUAUGAAGUGACACUCACUAGUACAUAAGUAGACCCAGAUACCGCCAUGGCAUCAAACAAGAAUUGCAUGCAAGAAAGAAUAAAUGCUGCUUAAGCCAUCCUGGUAUAGCAAUUGAGAUUUGUAAAUGAAAUGAUGAUGACCAAGAAAUAAGGCAAUAGUGAGAGAGAUAGAGCAGAUUGUGAAUACCAUAGGAGCGUCCACUAAGCAUGAAAGAACGUAUGCAUCUUUGAAAGCAGCGGAAUAUAGAGAACCCUUAGAAACUUCCCAUCCUAGCAGGCAGCCUCAUCCUUGUUCUUGAGCUUAGAAUUCCAGUUUCCGUUCAUGGUGUGACCAGAGAUGGGUUCAUCCGAACUCAGUAGCUUUGACUCGAACCUUGCAUGAGUUUAAAAGUUCACUAAUAAGAACAAAUAAUUCAUCUUCAACACAGUAAAUCAAAUGAGUUGUGGUAAAAUCUCGAACUCGAACCCACAAAGUUCAAAUCCUAGAUCUGCUAUGCACUUAGAUGUGUUAUGGUAACGCAAAAGAGAAGCUAACCACGACAUGGCUGCAAAACACCAAUUACACGAGUGAGAAGAGUCUAAAUCACAGGCCAUACAGGGAUGCCACGCCAAGAUACGGGUUGGGUAAUCUCAAUGCCAGAACUAGAUAUAGCCCAGAUACCAAAAAAAAAGCCAUAAUCAUUGCCUCUUUCAUGAGCUUUCAAAGCCACGAGGAGACCAUGCCAGAACUAGAUAUAGCCCAGAUACAAAAAAAAAAAGCCAUAAUCAUUGCCUCUUUCAUGAGCUUUCAAAGCCAUGAGGAGCCAGUCUGAAGAUCUGAAGGUGUGUUGAGCGUUGAGUACACAAAGGGUGCAAAAACACAAAUUAAAAGAUCAUCAUCACUGUCUCAUUAGCCCGGAUUCAUUAGCCCAGAUACUGAAAAAAUCGUCACUCUCAUUAUCUAAAGGCCACGUAGUUGUUGUAUAGUCCGUGAGAGUAGAAAUUAAAAGGGUGCAAAAAUGCAAGGAAACCCAGAUACCGAAGUGCUAUUAUAUGUCUCUAUUUCUCUUUCGUUUUGAAGGGUUGUUGGUUUGUUGGGCAACCACCCUUGAAAGAAAUCCCACACUAUUCUGCCUCAUUCUCGCCGUUUCUGCGCUAAUUUAUAAAUUAAUUUAGAUGAGAGCUUUUAACCGAGGAGACCUCACAAUUCUGCUUUUAAGAGAAUUUCUCAACUUCAAAUGAAUAUUGUCCAAACUCCUACUAAUGUUUUCAGCAAAUUGAGGCUCAGACGCGUAUAAUGACAAGGUAAAACAGAAGACAGCCACGCCAUGACUGCAAAACACCAGUUGCACGAGAGAGGAGUUCUCAAUCACAGGCAUACCGGGUUGCCACACCAAGAUACGGGUCGGGUCAUCUCAAUGCUCAAUUAUCAGCCCAAAAAUAGAAAGAUUCAUAAGCAUCAUCACAGCCCAUUUCUGUUGUAGAAUGCAUUAUAAUGGAACACUUUAAAGUUUCCAUUUACAAUGAACAAAAGAGUACCCAGUUUUAGAAAGAUUCAUAAGCAUCAUCACAGCCCAUUUCUGUUGUAGAAUGCAUUAUAAUGGAACACUUUAAAGUUUCCAUUUACAAUGAACAAUGAGAGUACUCUGAAAGAAACAUGCAAAGGGCCAUGAGCAGAAAGACUGAAGAUCUGAAGGCAUGUACUUGUGGUGAUACACUUGUAUAUUGGGGAAAUGUCACAAAUAGUCAUCUAGAAAACCAGAAACUGAAGUGCUAUGUUUUUCUUUCCGUCUCUUAAGGGCUGCUGGUUAGUUGAGAAGGGGGAGAAUCAUAGACAAAGCAGAGAGAAGCAACCACCCUAAGAGAUCCCAUAUUCUCUGUUGCCCCAUUCUCGCCAUUUUUUGGGCUAAUCCAACAAGAGAACUUUUAACCGAAAGCACCUGUAAGUCUGCAUUAAGAAUCUAACCAUACCUUUUUCAUCAAAAGGGAAAGUAGUUUUUACUUUUUUUCACCAUUGUCCUUCUCUUCCUUCAGGAUGUUAUUUUCAUCUAUUUUUAGAUAUCUAUCUAUGAAGUGACAAGACAAGAGGGGUUGCUCUGAUGGUAAGCAACCCCCACUUCCAACCGAGAGGUUGUGANNNNNNNNNNNNNNNNNNNNNNNNNNNNNNNNNNNNNNNNNNNNNNNNNNNNNNNNNNNNNNNNNNNNNNNCUUCCAACCGAGAGGUUGUGAGUUCGAGUCUCCCCAAGAGCAAGGUGGGAAGUUCUUGGAGGGAAGGAUGCCGGGGGUCUAUUUGGAAACAGACUUUCUACCCCAGGGUAGGGGUAAGGUCUGCGUACACACUACCCUCCCCAGACCACAUUAAGUGGGAUUAUACUGGGUUAUUGUUGUUGUAUCUAUGAAGUGACACUCAUGAGUACAUAAGUCGGCUCAGAUUUGUCAUAAAAUUAGGUGAAGGAAAGGGACACCACAAUGGCAUGCAAACAAGGAUGGCAUGCUACAAAGGAAAGACUCUGCUUACAAUAUCCUGGUUUACCCCCCAGGAUGAGUCCAGCAGACCCAAACCCAAUGAAGUCAAGAAACUUUAUCAUCAUGGCCUACAGUAAGAAACAUCAAUAAUGCGCAUGGUGAUUGAGAUUUGUUAAAAGGAAAAGAUGUGGACCAAGAAAGAAGAAGCGCAUAGUGUGAAAAAUAUGGCAGAUAGUGCAGCCUACAGUAAGAAACAGCAAUAAUGCAUAUAGUGAUUGAGAUUUGUUAAAAGGAAAAGAUGUGGACCAAGAAAGAAGAAGCGCAUAGUGUGAAAAAUAUGGCAGAUAGAGAAAAACCAUUAGAGCACUAGCUAAGCAUGAAAGAAGGGUGCUGCUUUGUCAGUUGCAGAAUACAGAGUUAUCACAGGCAUGCUGAUCGGAGGCAACACCCUUACAAACUUUACAUCCAUAAGACCAGAGCACCUAUAAAAAAAAAGAAAAAAAACAAGAAAGAGGAUCAGAGAGGAUGAAAGGUGAGGCUAUGAAGGCAAAAUCUCAAAAGUCAUUUAAUAACCAAGUGAGUACAUUAUCAUUCCUAAGAAAUUUUUUGUUAUCAUAUAGGAGUACUUUUUAAUAAAGGUUAUAUCUUAUUAUCAUAGGCAUUUUAAAUAUAAUCCGGUUGUCUUAUUAUUUCAUAAUAUAUAUUCUUAACAUUGAGAAUCAGUUCUAUGUUAUCAUCAGGCAAAGAGAUAAAAGCCAUGCCAUGGAUGCAAAACAAUGGUUGUUUGCAAGAGAGAAGAUUCUCAAUCACAAGCCAUAUUGGAUGCCAAGUCAAAAUAUGGAUAGGUGGUUUUCAUGAAAAUUGAUUAAGCACAGAAAAGAAAGAAGUAGAAGUAUCAUCAUAAUCCCUUUCAUAUCUAACAAAUGCUAGAAAACAUUUUCCAUGAAAAAAUGACUCCCCUCAAACUAUGCACACUACAAGAAGCAGAAUAACACUAAAUCAAAGUGGUUUUACACCCAAUUACACAGGAAAUUUACAAACAUAAGGAGGUUGCAGUUAGGUUUUACACCCAAUUACACAGGAUAUUUACAAACAUAAGGAGGUUGCAGUUAGUUGGUGAUGCUAUAAGCUUAAAAACCUUGAACAAAGAAUUCAGCAGAAAAAAUAAGAAGAGAUAUCAUCUGAUGAAAAAGUGAAUUCCGUCAAUGAUUUUCCCAGUAUAACAGUUUACAGUUCUACUGAAAGGGGCUGUUAUAUACAGAGAAUUUUUUUUUAGAAAUUUUGAGUUUUGAAUUCUAACCAGUACAAAACAAUAUAAAACAUUAUUUUUUUACCUUGUGUGUGCAAAGAGCAGAAUCAUUCACCAGUAGCCCAGCUGUUUCUUUGUAGACUGCAACAAAGUCUACGAAGCCAAACACCGAAACACGCUUUUUUUAAGCCCAUCCAAACAUCCUCUUAAAAAAUGCGCUAAAAAGCUACUUAAAUUCAGCUAAUCCAAGCAUGCUUUUACUUCAAUUUUGAUGCUCAAAUCUGUGAUAAAAUCAGUCAAUGUAGAAAUGCAACCGCCAUGGCUGCAGACCCGGUUGCAACCAUGCCUUCCAGGUCGCCCAGCCAGGAUACGGGCUGCUCCAAAGCCGGACCAACUCUGGACACCUUUCGACAUUUCAUCACAGCCUCAUCCCCCAGAAGAUCAUUUGUGUCAUGGAAAGGCAAAAGAGAAGCCAACCAUGCCAUGGCUGCAAAACAUUGAACACCGUUUGCAUGUGUGAGAGAAGACUCUCAUUCACAGGCCAUACCAGGCUGCUACACCAAGAUACUGGUCAGGUAAUCUCCAUGCCCCAAUUAGUUAGCCCAGAAAUAGAAAAGAAUCAUCAUCAUCUCUGCCUCUUUUAAGAUAUGAAAGUCACAUAGUUGUUGUGUAGUAUAGUUGUGAAUAUUGGGUCUUUGAGUUCCAUUACGGGUGUAAAAGUGCAGAUAAACCCACAAACUCAAGUACUCUUUCUCUUUCUUCUUUCUUUUUAAGGGCGGUUGGUUUGUUUAAAAAAGGAGAAUCAUAGGCAAAGCAGAGAGGGGGCAACCACCCUUGUAAAAAAAUCAUGUACUCUCUGUUACCUCAUUCUCGCCAUUUCUAUACUAAUAUAGAAGGUUUUCGAGAAAAUGAUCAAAAUAGUUCUUAGUGUAUGGGUUGGACUACUAUUUUGGUCCACAAUGUACACCCUUAACAGAAUUAAUCCUUGAAGAAUGUAAAACGUGUAAACUUUUAAUUCACAACAGUUUUCUUCAACACUUCAGUUAAACUUAACUGGGUAACAGAUGCAGUAAUUGCUUCAAUUUUGAGGCUCAGAUCUGAGAAUAUAGUCAGGCAAAGGAAACAAAGCAACCGCCAUGGCUGCAGCCCUCUAUCAAACAGGCCUUCGGGGUUGCCCCGCCAAGAUACGGGUCGCUCCAAUGCCCAACACAACUCUAGACACCUUUAAUCAUCACAGCCUCUUCAUCCGUCGCAUUAAAUGCUCUUAGGUAAUAUGUUCUGCUUAUUCUCAAACACCAAAAAUAAGUGUUUUUCAGGAAACAUUUUCCUUCAUACCAAAUACACCCAAAAUUUAUCUUCAGCAAAUUGAGGCUCAGAUUUGUUGUUAUGACAAGGCAAAAGAGAAGCCAACCACGCCAUGGCUGCAACACCAAUUGCAUGUGCGAGAGAAGAGUCCCAACUCUCAAUCACAAACCACACCGACUUGCCACGCCAAGAUACGGAUUGGGUCAUCUCAAUGCCAAAUCAGUUAGCCCAGAUAUAAUAAAAAACAUCAUCACUGCCUCUUUAAGAUCUGGAGGUAGCAUAGUUGUUGCAGUAUAGUUGUAUGUAUUGGGUUUUGAGUAUGCAUUUAGGGUGCAAAAAAUGCAAAGAAACCCAGGAAACUGAAGUGCUAUCAUCUCUUUCUCUUUUUUCUAUUUUAAGGGCUGUUGGUUUGUUUUUAAAAGUUGGAGAAUCACAGCCAAAGCAGAGACGGGCAACCACCCUUGUAAAAAAAAUCCCAUACACUCUGUUGACUCAUUCUCUUCAUUUCUGGGCUAAUCCAGUUCAAAUGGAGGGUAAUAUAGCAGGUUUUCCAGAAAAUAAUCAAAUAGUCCAAGUUACCCAAGAGCAAGGCGGGAAGUUCAUGGAGGGAAGGAUGCCGAGCGUCUAUGGGAAAAAGCCUCUCUACCCAGGUAGGGGCAAGGUUUGCGUAUACGCUACACUCCCAGACCCACUAAGUGGGACUAUACUAGGUGGUUGUUGUUGUUGUCCGUACAGUACGUAUGAAGCGUACACUUCUCUUGAGAAAAAUGAUCCGUCAUCUUUGAGGAGGUUUAUUAUGGUCCUUUAAUAUACACAAAAAACCUAAAAUUUUUGGUCUCCGUCCCUUUUUUAAAAGGGGAAAGGGCCAAAUGAACCCCUCAAUUUUGAGGCUCAAAUCGGUGAUAAAAUCAGGGCAAAGAAGACAAAGCAACCGCCAGGGCUGCAAACCUCGGUCGCACUAUAAAAAAAAAGGCCUUUCCGGGUCACCCCACCAAGAUACGGGCCGCUCCAUUGCCCCGACGCGAACUCUAGAUAACCUUAAUCAUCACAGCCUCAUCCAUUAUAAUAACAAUAAGAAUAAUGGUAAUAAUAGACUAACUAGUAUACCAUCACAACAUCCAACUUUUAUCACAUCGGAAUCGUACAUCAUUUUGACAUUCAUAAUUAUAUGGAAAUAAAUAUGAAGAUGGUAGCUGGCAUUUAAGAAAAAGAAAAAAGCAAGCACUUAAUCAAGGGCUUACCAGAAGGGGAUUGCCGGACCACAAGGGAUCGUAUGCAGUCUUACCCUACAUUUCUGCAAGAGGUUGUUUCUAUCGCUCGAACCCCCGACCUCCUGGUCAUAUGGAGGCAACUUUACCAGUUUGCUUUUGUCAUAAACAAAGGGGUGUUGGUUUUUUUGAUAAUGGAGGAAAAUCAAUGGCGGAACAGAGAGGGGCAACCAUCCCUUCAAUGAAAAUCUCAAAACUCUCUGUUUUGCCUCAUUUCUUUCUAGGCUAACCUUUUUGCAAUUCUAGAAGAAAUUCUCGUGGGUUUUUCACCCGCAAAUUUCAAAAUUUAACGGAAAAGAGCUCAUAAGUCUGCAUUUAAGAAAAUAAC
RNAcentral lists this long non-coding RNA (32522 nucleotides) under Nicotiana benthamiana. Lineage: Eukaryota; Viridiplantae; Streptophyta; Magnoliopsida; Solanales; Solanaceae. The record is from RNAcentral.